UUCCGGAGUGUGGAGCGUGUCUGUAUUGGGAGUAGGUUUUUGUACUUAGGCGAAGUCAGGUUCGCAUCUAAGCCCCCGAGUGUGGAGCAUGUCCGUACUCAGAGUUGUUUUUAACUUAGGCGAUACAGAGUCGCAACUAAGUUCCCGAGUGUGGAGCAUGUCCGUAUUUGGAGUUGUUUAUAACUUAGGCGACACGGAGUCGCAACUAAGUUCCCGAGUGUGGAGCGUGUCCGUACUCGGAGUUGUUUUUAACUUAGGCGAUACGGAGUCGCGGCUAAGUUCCCGAGUGUGGAGCAUGUCCGUAAUUGGAGUUGUUUUUUAACUUAGGUGAUAUGGAGUUGCAGAUAAGUUCCCGAGUGUGGAGCAUGUCCAUACUCAGAGUUAUUUUUAACUUAGGGAAUAUGGAGUCACAGCUAAGUUCUCAGCUGUGGAGCGUGUCCGUACUCGAAAUAGUUUUUUACUUAGGCAAAGUGAGGUUUGCAACUAAGCCGGUCACCCACUAGGGGGUUGUGGAAUAGAUGUGUUCAGCUGAGCUAUGGCGCACGGGCCGGCUGAGUGACGAUGCGGGAGGCAUCUAAGUGAUGAAGACAUCUCCAGCUGAGUGGCUACGCGAUGGGCGGCCGUGUGAUGAAGAUGCAUUCAGCGAAAUAAUGGCGCGCGAGGCGGCCGGGUGAUGGAGACGUGUCCGAUAGAGUGGCAGCCCACGGGGCGGCCAUGUGAUGAAGACGCGCUUGGUGGAGUGAUAGCGCGCGAGGCGGUCGAGUGAUGUAGGCGCGCUCGGCGGAGUGGCGAUGCGCGAGGCGGCCGAGUGAUGAAGACGUGCUCGGCGGAAUGAUGGCGCGUGAGACAGCCGAGUGAUGGUGAUGCGUCCAACCGAGUGGCGACACGUUGGGCGGCAAAGUGAUGUCGACCGCUCAGCAGAGUGACGGCGCGCGAGACGGCCGAGUGAUGGAGACGCGUCCAACCGAGUGGCGACACGCUAGGCGGCCAAGUGAUGUUGGCACGUCCAGCAGAGUGGCAACGCACAGGGCGUCCAUGUGAUGAAGACGUGCUCGGCAGAGUGACGACGCGUUGGGCGGCCAUGUGAUGAAGACACGCUCGAUGGAGUGAUGACGCGCGAGGCGGCCGGGUGAUAUAGGCGCGUCCAGCAGAGUGGCAAUGUGUGGGGCAUCCACAUGAUGUAGGCACGUCCAGCAGAGUGGCGACGCGCCGGGUGUCCAAGUGAUGAAGACUCGCUCGGCAGAGCGACGACAUGCGAGGCGACCCUGUGAUGGAAAAGCGUCCAACCGAGUGGCGGUGCGCUGGGCGGCCAAGUGACGUAGGCGCGUCCAACCAGAUGACGACGGGCGGGGCGUCCGAGUGACUGUGUAACCUAUGUACGAAAAAUAGCACAAACCAACGUAAAAAAAUUCCCAAAGCAAUAUGAGUUUGCUAAUGGGUGUGCGAGGUGAUUGCUGGUUUGGAACCAGCAAGAGUCAGCAAGAGUCUAAAAGAGUGAAGGAUCCGGCUAAACUCGUUUGAGUUCUGAACCCAAAUAAAGCGGAAAUGAAGUGUUUCGAUAUGAAAUAAAAAACCAAACGCUGAGGUACACUCACUAGCGUGGCCUCCGAGUGAACAUCAUGUGUGACUUACAAGAGACUCAGUAAUGCAGAAAUGACUACUUAAUUGAAUGCAUCGUGUGAAGAAUGACUUAGCUGUCUAAUGGCGCGUGCGCGGCCGUGUAGCGAAGACGUUUUCAACCGAUGGCGAGAUGUAGGGAAGCUGAGUGAUGAAGAUACACCUCAUCGGGUGGCGACGCGCAGAGCGGCCGAGUGAUGAGGUCGCUUUCGGUUGAGCGACGGCGCGCGGGGCAGUCGAAUGAUGAAGUCGUGUCUGAUUGAGCGACGACACACGGGGCGGCCGAAUGACGAAGAUUCGUACAACUGAGGGACGGCGCGCGGAGUGACAGAUUGAUGACGACGCGUCCGACUGAGGGAUGGUGUGUGGGGCGACCGAGUGUUAACGACGCGUCCGACUCAGCAACGGCAUGCAGACGGUCGGUUUAUUAGUACAAGUCCGACUAAGGGACGACGCGCGGUGCGGCCGAGUGUUGACAACGCGUCCGACUGAGGGAAGCCACGUAGGGCGGCCGAGUGUUGACGACGCGCCCGACUGAGCGACGGUGCGCGGGGCAGCCGAGUGUUGACGACACGUCCGACUGAGCGACGGCGCGCGGGGCUACCGAUUUAUGACGAUGAGUCCGACUAAGGGACGGCACGCAGGGCGUCCGAAUGAUGAAGUCGUGCCCGGUUGAGCGACGGCGCACGGGGCAACAGAGUGGUGAAGUUGCGUCCGGUUGAGCGACGGCGCACGGGCGACCGACUGAUGAAGUCGCGUCCGGUUGAGCGACGACAUACGAGGUGGUCGAAUGAUGAUGUCGUGUCUGAUUGAGCGACGGCACACGGGGUGAUCGAGUGAUGAAGUCGCGUCCGGUUGAACGACGGCACACAGGGCGGCUGAUUGGUGCACACGAGUCCCGAGGAAUGGAACGUGCAGGACGACCGACUGAUGCAUACGUGUCCGAUGGAGAGACGACGCGAGGGGCGACCGACUGACUGCAUGUUGGUCGUCUGUACGUAAAUUUCAUUUGCGUGUCCUCGUGUUAGCGGCUCCAACGGAAUGUCCGCCCGGGUAAGUGUUGUCCGAAGACGAUAACGAACGAGUAAUCCUACAUGUUAGUAGCAAGUAUAGCUAUGAAUAUAUUUUUUGUUGGAUCAAAACGUGGCCAUUUUAUGAGGACUAGUUAGCAUGCACGUGCAACGCACGACUAACUGAAUAAUUUAUAAAUUGCUUUUAAUAUUAAAAUUUUAGUAUAUAUAUAUAUAGCUGCAAAAAUAUUAAAACACACACAAUAUACACAUUACUUGCACUCCAUUGAAAAAUUAAAAAUAAAUGUAUUCGGUGGAAUAAUGGAAAAAAUGUUUGGAGUAACAUAAGACAAGGAGACCAUGAUCAACAACAAAUCAUUUUGCUAAAUUGGAUAUGAUCAAGUUGAAAUUCAUAUUUCUCUUCAAAUUCCACGUAAAAGGCCACUUGAAUUAUAUGGAAAUAAAAUAAUUCCUCAAACAACAUCGAAAAAAUGUUGCACAAUUGUCAAAUAAUCCAAAAUAAUUAUUAUUAAGGAAAACAACAUCACCCUCGAUGUUGGUGUGGACCCCACCAUCAAAACAGAGUCAUUUUUGCAUUUAAAAGUGCUCUUAAAUUCCAUGAAAAAAAUCCAAACAUAUUUCAAUGGGCCCAAUUAUUUUUGUGAUCAUUCAAAAUACUGUAAGAUAUGUGUUGGACCAUGUCACACAUUUUUUCUAUAAGGAAUAGUUGCUGGAAUUAAAUAAAGCAGAAAAUAAUAAAAGAAAGCAUAAAAAAAUAAGAAAAAAUAAAAAGUAGAAAGCUACUGGGCACUUAGGCCCAGCUGGUACAGGCUGGCCCGGCCCAGCUAGGCUGGCCUUUCUCCCACCUCCCGACAGAGGCAGGGGAGGCCAUGGCGCCAUAGCCGUCCGCGUACGGAUGCCCUCGCUGGCGAGCAUCCAACGGCUCCCCCGACGCGGAUAAUGCGACCCUGAGCGUCUCUCCAACCCUAGCCUCCUUUUCGCCUCGCCUCGCGCCCCAAGGAGCUCCUCUCCUCUCUUGCCCCCUUUCCCAUGUCCAGCCGAACGCCGCCAUGGCCAUGCUACGGUGAGCUCGCAGCCACCGCCAGCCUCGCUCCUAUCCGUCGAGCCUAGACGCUCCAUGACAUCCUCCUCGACCCCCUCGAGCUCUGGAUCGAACCGGAGCACGACGCAGCUUCGUCCCGUUCCUCUUCUUCAACCUCGGACCCGAGAGCUCACCGUCGUCGAUCUCCUCUCUCCGAGCUCCUCCGACUGCACCGGGCCUUUCCAUCGACGUUGGUGAGCUCCUCUCGCCGCUCCUUCGCCUCUGUGCGCUCCCGUAGCGGUGGCAUGUGGCGACGGCGAGGAAACAACAGGCAUACAACUCCAUUGAGAAAUUAGUAAAUCACUAAAUCUUAUUUCACUGAAAGUUUCAGUGGGUGUUGCUAAGAAAUGUUUCACACAAGCGCACCCAAUGCACAAAAGAAACGACAUUGCUAUCCCUGGGUAAAAUCCUAAAUACGAAAACUGUAAGCAUAAAAACCAGACCUCUUGUGGUAAAUUGUCAGCUUACUUGUUGAACAAAUUCGAGGGAUGUGUCCGGCCGUCCGACAUAGAAGAAGAUGAGCUGUGUUCUCCUGAGGGACAUGAGAUCCCUGGGGAACUCCCUGAGCAGCUGUCACACACGAGCAAGAAC
Molecule: long non-coding RNA, 4320 nt
Filed under: Hordeum vulgare
Lineage: Eukaryota; Viridiplantae; Streptophyta; Magnoliopsida; Poales; Poaceae
Description: long non-coding RNA (HVUL_LNC015056)
Source: RNAcentral